RNAcentral lists this ribosomal RNA (392 nucleotides) under uncultured bacterium. Its description in RNAcentral is "partial 16S ribosomal RNA". It matches the Rfam family "Bacterial small subunit ribosomal RNA", at positions 523 to 918 of the family's 1533-position model. The record is from RNAcentral.
AUACGGAGGAUGCGAGCGUUAUCCGGAUUUAUUGGGUUUAAAGGGAGCGUAGGCGGGAGCUUAAGUCAGCGGUUAAAUGGUGCGGCUCAACCGUGCCCUGCCGUUGAAACUGGGUUUCUUGAGAGUGCAAGAGGCGGAUGGAAUUCAUGGUGUAGCGGUGAAAUGCUUAGAUAUCAUGAAGAACUCCGAUUGCGAAGGCAGUCCGCUGGGGCACGUCUGACGCUGAUGCUCGAAGGUGCGGGAAUCAAACAGGAUUAGAUACCCUGGUAGUCCGCACGGUAAACGAUGAUUACCCGCUGUCGGCGGCAGACAGUCGGCGGCCAAGCGAAAGCGAUAAGUAAUCCACCUGGGGAGUACGCCGGCAACGGUGAAACUCAAAGGAAUUGACGGGG